AUAGUCCCCGGGGAGUCGUCAACCAGGCUUUGAUCCGGGGGUUUCCGAAUGGGGAAACCCGGCAGUCGUCAUGGGCUGUCACCCUUGUCUGAACACAUAGGGCAAGUGGAGGGAACGCGGGGAAGUGAAACAUCUCAGUACCCGCAGGAAGAGAAAACAACCGUGAUUCCGGGAGUAGUGGCGAGCGAAACCGGAUGAGGCUAAACCGUAUACGUGUGAGACCCGGCAGGGGUUGCGUAUGCGGGGUUGUGGGAUCUCUCUUCCACGGUCUGCCGGCCGUGGGACGAGUCAGAAACCGUUGAUGUAGGCGAAGGACAUGCGAAAGGUCCGGCGUAAAGGGUAAGACCCCCGUAGUCGAAACGUCAGCGGCUCGUUUGAGAGACACCCAAGUAGCACGGGGCCCGAGAAAUCCUGUGUGAAUCUGGCGGGACCACCCGCUUAGCCUAAAUAUUCCCUGGUGACCGAUAGCGGAUAGUACCGUGAGGGAAUGGUGAAAAGUACCGCGGGAGCGGAGUGAAAUAGUACCUGAAACCGUGUGCCUACAAGCCGUGGGAGCGUCGGAACAAGGCUUGCCUUGUUCUCGUGACUGCGUGCCUUUUGAAGAAUGAGCCUGCGAGUUUGCGGUGUGUUGCGAGGUUAACCCGUGUGGGGAAGCCGUAGCGAAAGCGAGUCCGAAUAGGGCGUUUCAGUAGCACGCUCAAGACCCGAAGCGGAGUGAUCUAGCCAUGGGCAGGUUGAAGCGGAGGUAAGACUUCGUGGAGGACCGAACCCACCAGGGUUGAAAACCUGGGGGAUGACCUGUGGUUAGGGGUGAAAGGCCAAUCAAACUCCGUAUUAGCUGGUUCUCCCCGAAAUGCAUUUAGGUGCAGCGUCGUGUGUUUCUUGCCGGAGGUAGAGCACUGGAUAGGCGAUGGGCCCUACCGGGUUACUGACCUUAGCCAAACUCCGAAUGCCGGUAAGUGAGAGCGCGGCAGUGAGACUGUGGGGGAUAAGUUCCAUGGUCGAGAGGGAAACAGCCCAGAGCAUCGACUAAGGCCCCUAAGGGUACGCUAAGUGGAAAAGGAUGUGGAGUCGCAGAGCCACCCAGGAGGUUGCCUUGGAACCACCCCCCCUUGAAAGAGUGCGUAAUAGCUCACUGGUCAAGUGAUUCCGCGCCGACAAUGUAGCGGGGCUCAAGCGUACCGCCGAAGUCGUGUCAUUGACACAAUAGGCCCAACGGGGGUGGGGAUGGGUAGGGGAGCGUCGUGUGCCGGGUGAAGCAGCACCGGAAGGUAGUUGUGGACGGUUCACGAGUGAGAAUGCAGGCAUGAGUAGCGAUUCACACGUGAGAAACGUGUGCGCCGAUUGACUAAGGGUUCCUGGGUCAAGCUGAUCUGCCCAGGGUAAGUCGGGACCUAAGGCGAGGCCGACAGGCGUAGUCGAUGGAUAACCGGUUGAUAUUCCGGUACCCGCUGUGAAGCGUCAAACAUCGAGCAUCGUGAUGCUAAGGCCGUGAAGCCGCCCUGGAGCCUUCGGGCAAAGGGGAGUGGUGGAGCCGCUGAACCAAGCGGUUAGUAGGUGAGUGAUGGGGUGACGCAGGAAGGUAGUCCAUCCCGGGCGGUGGUUGUCCCGGGGUAAGGGUGUAGGCCGUGAUCUAGGCAAAUCCGGAUCACACAAGGCUGAGACCUGAUGCCGAGCCGAUUGUGGUGAAGUGGAUGAUCCUAUGCUGUCGAGAAAAGCCUCUAGCGAGUUUCAUGGCGGCCCGUACCCUAAACCGACUCAGGUGGUCAGGUAGAGAAUACCGAGGCGUUCGGGUGAACUAUGGUUAAGGAACUCGGCAAAAUGCCCCCGUAACUUCGGGAGAAGGGGGGCCACACUCGGUGAUCCGAUUUACUCGGUGAGCUGGGGGUGGCCGCAGAGACCAGCGAGAAGCGACUGUUUACUAAAAACACAGGUCCGUGCGAAGCCGUAAGGCGAUGUAUACGGACUGACGCCUGCCCGGUGCUGGAACGUUAAGGGGACCGGUUAGCUCAGAUUCGUCUGGGCGAAGCUGAGAACUUAAGCGCCAGUAAACGGCGGUGGUAACUAUAACCAUCCUAAGGUAGCGAAAUUCCUUGUCGGGUAAGUUCCGACCUGCACGAAUGGCGUAACGACUUCUCGACUGUCUCAACCAUAGGCCCGGUGAAAUUGCACUACGAGUAAAGAUGCUCGUUUCGCGCAGCAGGACGGAAAGACCCCGGGACCUUUACUACAGUUUGAUAUUGGUGUUCGGUUCGGCUUGUGUAGGAUAGCUGGGAGACUGUGAACUCUGGACGCCAGUUCAGGGGGAGUCGUCGUUGAAAUACCAGUCUGGUCGUGCUGGAUGUCUAACCUGGGUCCGUGAUCCGGAUCAGGGACAGUGUCUGAUGGGUAGUUUAACUGGGGCGGUUGCCUCCUAAAGAGUAACGGAGGCGCCCAAAGGUUCCCUCAGCCUGGUUGGCAAUCAGGUGUUGAGUGUAAGUGCACAAGGGAGCUUGACUGUGAGACCGACGGGUCGAGCAGGGACGAAAGUCGGGACUAGUGAUCCGGCGGUGGCUUGUGGAAGCGCCGUCGCUCAACGGAUAAAAGGUACCCCGGGGAUAACAGGCUGAUCUUCCCCAAGAGUCCAUAUCGACGGGAUGGUUUGGCACCUCGAUGUCGGCUCGUCGCAUCCUGGGGCUGGAGUCGGUCCCAAGGGUUGGGCUGUUCGCCCAUUAAAGCGGUACGCGAGCUGGGUUUAGAACGUCGUGAGACAGUUCGGUCCCUAUCCGCUGUGCGC
RNAcentral lists this ribosomal RNA (2776 nucleotides) under Streptomyces violaceochromogenes. Its description in RNAcentral is "bacterial LSU rRNA". It matches the Rfam family "Bacterial large subunit ribosomal RNA", at positions 71 to 2652 of the family's 2925-position model. The record is from RNAcentral. Lineage: Bacteria; Bacillati; Actinomycetota; Actinomycetes; Kitasatosporales; Streptomycetaceae.